RNAcentral lists this ribosomal RNA (451 nucleotides) under uncultured bacterium. Its description in RNAcentral is "partial 16S ribosomal RNA". It matches the Rfam family "Bacterial small subunit ribosomal RNA", at positions 29 to 523 of the family's 1533-position model. The record is from RNAcentral.
AGCGAACGCUGGCGGCAGGCUUAACACAUGCAAGUCGAGCGGGCAUAGCAAUAUGUCAGCGGCAGACGGGUGAGUAACGCGUGGGAACGUACCUUUUGGUUCGGAACAACACAGGGAAACUUGUGCUAAUACCGGAUAAGCCCUUACGGGGAAAGAUUUAUCGCCGAAAGAUCGGCCCGCGUCUGAUUAGCUAGUUGGUGAGGUAAUGGCUCACCAAGGCGACGAUCAGUAGCUGGUCUGAGAGGAUGAUCAGCCACAUUGGGACUGAGACACGGCCCAAACUCCUACGGGAGGCAGCAGUGGGGAAUAUUGGACAAUGGGCGCAAGCCUGAUCCAGCCAUGCCGCGUGAGUGAUGGAGGCCCUAGGGUUGUAAAGCUCUUUUGUGCGGGAAGAUAAUGUCGGUACCGCAAGAAUAAGCCCCGGCUAACUUCGUGCCAGCCGCCGCGGUAA